CUACGGGCGGCACCAGUGAGGAAUAUUGCACAAUGGGGGGAACCCUGAUGCAGCAACGCCGCGUGGAGGAUGACGCAUUUCGGUGUGUAAACUCCUUUUAUAUGUCAAGAAAAUGACGGUAGCAUAUGAAUAAGCACCGGCUAACUCCGUGCCAGCAGCCGCGGUAAUACGGAGGGUGCAAGCGUUACUCGGGAAUCACUGGGCGUAAAGGACGCGUAGGCGGGUUGGAAAGUCAGGUGUGAAAUCCUACAGCUUAACUGUAGAACUGCACUUGAAACUUCUAAUCUAGAGUAUGGGAGGGGGAGAUGGAAUUAGUGGUGUAGGGGUAAAAUCCGUAGAUAUCACUAGGAAUACCUAAAGCGAAGGCGAUCUCCUGGAACAUUACUGACGCUAAGGCGUGAAAGCGUGGGGAGCAAACAGGAUUAGAUACCCCCGUAGUC
This 440-nucleotide ribosomal RNA is filed under the name uncultured bacterium. Its description in RNAcentral is "partial 16S ribosomal RNA". It matches the Rfam family "Bacterial small subunit ribosomal RNA", at positions 339 to 795 of the family's 1533-position model. The record is from RNAcentral.